UGGAAAGCUUUAUUGCAGUUUUGGAUGGACUCGCGGCCUAUCAGCUUGUUGGCGGGGUAAUGGCCCACCAAGGCGACGACGGGUAGCCGGCCUGAGAGGGUGACCGGCCACACUGGGACUGAGACACGGCCCAGACUCCUACGGGAGGCAGCAGUGGGGAAUAUUGCACAAUGGGCGCAAGCCUGAUGCAGCGACGCCGCGUGAGGGAUGAAGGCCUUCGGGUUGUAAACCUCUUUCCAGUAGGGAAGAAGCGAAAGUGACGGUACCUGCAGAAGAAGCGCCGGCUAACUACGUGCCAGCAGCCGCGGUAAUACGUAGGGCGCAAGCGUUAUCCGGAAUUAUUGGGCGUAAAGAGCUCGUAGGCGGUUUGUCGCGUCUGCCGUGAAAGUCCGGGGCUUAACUCCGGAUCUGCGGUGGGUACGGGCAGACUAGAGUGCAGUAGGGGAGACUGGAAUUCCUGGUGUAGCGGUGAAAUGCGCAGAUAUCAGGAGGAACACCGAUGGCGAAGGCAGGUCUCUGGGCUGUAACUGACGCUGAGGAGCGAAAGCAUGGGGAGCGAACAGGAUUAGAUACCCUGGUAGUCCAUGCCGUAAACGUUGGGCACUAGGUGUGGGGGACAUUCCACGUUUUCCGCGCCGUAGCUAACGCAUUAAGUGCCCCGCCUGGGGAGUACGGCCGCAAGGCUAAAACUCAAAGGAAUUGACGGGGGCCCGCACAAGCGGCGGAGCAUGCGGAUUAAUUCGAUGCAACGCGAAGAACCUUACCAAGGCUUGACAUGAACCGGAAUGGCGCAGAGAUGUGUCAGCCACUUGUGGCCGGUUUACAGGUGGUGCAUGGUUGUCGUCAGCUCGUGUCGUGAGAUGUUGGGUUAAGUCCCGCAACGAGCGCAACCCUCGUUCCAUGUUGCCAGCGGGUUAUGCCGGGGACUCAUGGGAGACUGCCGGGGUCAACUCGGAGGAAGGUGGGGACGACGUCAAAUCAUCAUGCCCCUUAUGUCUUGGGCUUCACGCAUGCUACAAUGGCCGGUACAAAGGGUUGCGAUACUGUGAGGUGGAGCUAAUCCCAAAAAGCCGGUCUCAGUUCGGAUUGAGGUCUGCAACUCGACCUCAUGAAGUUGGAGUCGCUAGUAAUCGCAGAUCAGCAACGCUGCGGUGAAUACGUUCCCGGGCCUUGUACACACCGCCCGUCAAGUCACGAAAGUUGGUAACACCCGAAGCCGGUGGCCUAACCC
RNAcentral lists this ribosomal RNA (1231 nucleotides) under Arthrobacter sp. SBT359. RNAcentral's name for it is "bacterial SSU rRNA". It matches the Rfam family "Bacterial small subunit ribosomal RNA", at positions 200 to 1441 of the family's 1533-position model. Lineage: Bacteria; Bacillati; Actinomycetota; Actinomycetes; Micrococcales; Micrococcaceae. The record is from RNAcentral.